RNAcentral lists this ribosomal RNA (253 nucleotides) under uncultured bacterium. RNAcentral describes it as "partial 16S ribosomal RNA". It matches the Rfam family "Bacterial small subunit ribosomal RNA", at positions 524 to 776 of the family's 1533-position model. The record is from RNAcentral.
UACGAGGGGGGCAAGCGUUGUUCGGAAUUACUGGGCGUAAAGGGCGCGCAGGCGGCUCAGACAGUCAGAUGUGAAAGCCCCGGGCUUAACCUGGGAACUGCAUUUGAUACUACUGAGCUUGAGUACGGGAGAGGAUAGUGGAAUUCCCAGUGUAGAGGUGAAAUUCGUAGAUAUUGGGAAGAACACCGGUGGCGAAGGCGGCUAUCUGGACCGUAACUGACGCUGAGGCGCGAAAGCGUGGGGAGCAAACAGG